This 250-nucleotide ribosomal RNA is filed under the name uncultured bacterium. RNAcentral's name for it is "partial 16S ribosomal RNA". It matches the Rfam family "Bacterial small subunit ribosomal RNA", at positions 524 to 773 of the family's 1533-position model. The record is from RNAcentral.
UACAGAGGGUGCGAGCGUUAAUCGGAAUUACUGGGCGUAAAGCGCGCGUAGGCGGUUUAUUAAGUCGGAUGUGAAAUCCCUGGGCUUAACCUAGGAAUGGCAUACGAUACUGGUAAGCUAGAGUAUGGGAGAGGAAGGUAGAAUUCCAGGUGUAGCGGUGAAAUGCGUAGAGAUCUGGAGGAAUACCGAUGGCGAAGGCAGCCUUCUGGCCUAAUACUGACGCUGAGGUGCGAAAGCAUGGGGAGCAAAC